Molecule: ribosomal RNA, 465 nt
Filed under: uncultured bacterium
Lineage: Bacteria
Description: partial 16S ribosomal RNA
Rfam family: Bacterial small subunit ribosomal RNA
Source: RNAcentral
GACGAACGCUGGCGGCGUGCUUAACACAUGCAAGUCGAACGGAAAGGCCCUGCUUGCAGGGUACUCGAGUGGCGAACGGGUGAGUAACACGUGGGUGAUCUGCCCUGCACUUCGGGAUAAGCCUGGGAAACUGGGUCUAAUACCGGAUAGGAGCCAUUUUUAGUGUGAUGGUUGGAAAGUUUUUUCGGUGUAGGAUGAGCUCGCGGCCUAUCAGCUUGUUGGUGGGGUAAUGGCCUACCAAGGCGGCGACGGGUAGCCGGCCUGAGAGGGUGGACGGCCACAUUGGGACUGGGAUACGGCCCAGACUCCUACGGGAGGCAGCAGUGGGGAAUAUUUGACCAUGGGCGCAAGCCUUAUGCAGCGACGCCGCGUGGGGGAUGACGGCCUUCGGGUUGUAAACUCCUUUCGCUAGGGACGAAGCUUUUUGUGACGGUACCUAGAUAAGAAGCACCGGCUAACUACGUG